RNAcentral lists this long non-coding RNA (598 nucleotides) under Malus domestica (apple). RNAcentral describes it as "long non-coding RNA (MDOM_LNC015941)". The record is from RNAcentral. Lineage: Eukaryota; Viridiplantae; Streptophyta; Magnoliopsida; Rosales; Rosaceae.
GCUUGCUCAGAAACCACGAGCCGAAUCCCGGAUUUCGAAGGAUCACUUUGUCCAGACGUGUCGUCACUCGUCACAUGCAACCGGUAACUUUGCGGAAAUUACGGGCAGCUUUGUCAGAAAGCGCGUAAUUUGUACUAUUCAUCCAUCCACCGGCUGCCGACAAUGAGUGAGAGAACAGUUCCGGUUGUGAAGAAAAGCCCUAUAAGUAUCUACCUUCGCCUUCCACAGCAAAGACACACCCUCUCCGCACUUCUUCAUCUCCGAAAAUGCAUUCCCAAAGAAUCCUCCUAAGUUACUCUGUGUUCCUCAUUCCUUGGGAUACUCCUGAAAACAACCCAUUCAAAGCAAAAGUAUUUCAUAUCAUGAAGGUUGAAAGCAAGAGUAUCUCAUAUCAUGCUUUCUCCCUGUCCUUUCUCCAGCCAGCACUUGCUCUUGAGUACUCAUCAUCUUGUGUUUCCUCUUCGUCUCUUACGUAUAAGGGAAGUGAAGAUGAUACCUCGAAGCAUGUGGAGACAACGUGCUGAUUCAUCCUCAGCUAGGGACAAGGAGAAAGAGAGCAAGAGGUGGGCACUUGGAAAGAUUGAAGAAAGAAACAGAC